Molecule: small RNA, 27 nt
Filed under: Bombyx mori (domestic silkworm)
Lineage: Eukaryota; Metazoa; Arthropoda; Insecta; Lepidoptera; Bombycidae
Description: ovarian small RNA-1409
Source: RNAcentral
UAUCAUCGGCAAAGCGAAGAUGUGAGA